CCUACGGGAGGCAGCAGUGGGGAAUCUUCGGCAAUGGGCGAAAGCCUGACCGAGCAACGCCGCGUGAGUGAAGAAGGCCUUCGGGUUGUAAACUUCUGUUAUCAGGGAAGAAAGGUGAUAGGAGGAAAUGACUAUCAAUUGACGGUACCUUAUGAGAAAGCCACGGCUAACUACGUGCCAGCAGCCGCGGUAAUACGUAGGUGGCAAGCGUUAUCCGGAAUUAUUGGGCGUAAAGCGCGCGCAGGUGGUAAAUUAAGUCUGAUGUGAAAGCCCACGGCUUAACCGUGGAGGGUCAUUUGAAACUGGUUGACGUGAGUGUAGAAGAGGGAAGUGGAAUUCCAGGGGUAGCGGUGAAAUGCGUAGAGAUAUGGAGGAACACCAGUGGCGAAGGCGGCUACCUGGUCUGCAACUGACACUGAGGCGCGAAAGCGUGGGUAGCAAACAGGAUUAGAUACCCUAGUAGUC
This 465-nucleotide ribosomal RNA is filed under the name uncultured bacterium. RNAcentral's name for it is "partial 16S ribosomal RNA". It matches the Rfam family "Bacterial small subunit ribosomal RNA", at positions 338 to 795 of the family's 1533-position model. The record is from RNAcentral.